ACGGGUGAGUAACGCGUGGGAACAUACCUCUUGGUUCGGAACAACACAGGGAAACUUGUGCUAAUACCGGAUAAGCCCUUACGGGGAAAGAUUUAUCGCCGAGAGAUUGGCCCGCGUCUGAUUAGCUAGUUGGUGGGGUAAAGGCCUACCAAGGCGACGAUCAGUAGCUGGUCUGAGAGGAUGAUCAGCCACGUUGGGACUGAGACACGGCCCAAACUCCUACGGGAGGCAGCAGUGGGGAAUAUUGGACAAUGGGCGCAAGCCUGAUCCAGCCAUGCCGCGUGAGUGAUGAAGGCCCUAGGGUUGUAAAGCUCUUUUGUACGGGAAGAUAAUGACGGUACCGUAAGAAUAAGCCCCGGCUAACUUCGUGCCAGCAGCCGCGGUAAUACGAAGGGGGCUAGCGUUGCUCGGAAUCACUGGGCGUAAAGGGUGCGUAGGCGGGUUUUUAAGUCAGAGGUGAAAUCCUGGAGCUCAACUCCAGAACUGCCUUUGAUACUGAAAGUCUUGAGUAUGGGAGAGGUGAGUGGAACUGCGAGUGUAGAGGUGAAAUUCGUAGA
RNAcentral lists this ribosomal RNA (557 nucleotides) under uncultured bacterium. RNAcentral's name for it is "bacterial SSU rRNA". It matches the Rfam family "Bacterial small subunit ribosomal RNA", at positions 102 to 694 of the family's 1533-position model. The record is from RNAcentral.